GACGAACGCUGGCGGCGUGCUUAACACAUGCAAGUCGAACGGAAAGGCCCUGCUUUUGUGGGGUGCUCGAGUGGCGAACGGGUGAGUAACACGUGAGUAACCUGCCCUUGACUUUGGGAUAACUUCAGGAAACUGGGGCUAAUACCGGAUAGGAGCUCCUGCUGCAUGGUGGGGGUUGGAAAGUUUCGGCGGUUGGGGAUGGACUCGCGGCUUAUCAGCUUGUUGGUGGGGUAGUGGCUUACCAAGGCUUUGACGGGUAGCCGGCCUGAGAGGGUGACCGGCCACAUUGGGACUGAGAUACGGCCCAGACUCCUACGGGAGGCAGCAGUGGGGAAUACUGCACAAUGGGCGGAAGCGUGAUGCAGCAACGCCGCGUGCGGGAUGACGGCCUUCGGGUUGUAAACCGCUUUCGCCUGUGACGAAGCGUGAGUGACGGUAAUGGGUAAAGAAGCACCGGCUAACUACGUG
Molecule: ribosomal RNA, 468 nt
Filed under: uncultured bacterium
Lineage: Bacteria
Description: partial 16S ribosomal RNA
Rfam family: Bacterial small subunit ribosomal RNA
Source: RNAcentral